UACGGUGGGGGCAAGCGUUGUUCGGAAUUACUGGGCGUAAAGGGCUCGUAGGUGGCCAACUAAGUCAGACGUGAAAUCCCCAGGCUCAACUUGGGAACUGCGUCUGAUACUGGAUGGCUUGAAUUCGGGAGAGGGAUGCAGAAUUCCAGGUGUAGCGGUGAAAUGCGUAGAUAUCUGGAGGAAUACCGGUGGCGAAGGCGGCAUCCUGGACCGAUAUUGACACUGAGGAGCGAAAGCCAGGGGAGCAAACGGG
RNAcentral lists this ribosomal RNA (253 nucleotides) under uncultured bacterium. RNAcentral describes it as "partial 16S ribosomal RNA". It matches the Rfam family "Bacterial small subunit ribosomal RNA", at positions 524 to 776 of the family's 1533-position model. The record is from RNAcentral.